Molecule: ribosomal RNA, 274 nt
Filed under: uncultured bacterium
Lineage: Bacteria
Description: partial 16S ribosomal RNA
Rfam family: Bacterial small subunit ribosomal RNA
Source: RNAcentral
CUACGGAGGGUGCAAGCGUUAAUCGGAAUUACUGGGCGUAAAGCGCGCGUAGGCGGUUUGAUAAGUCGGAUGUGAAAUCCCCGGGCUCAACCUGGGAAUUGCAUUCGAUACUGUCAGGCUAGAGUGUGGUAGAGGGAAGUGGAAUUUCCGGUGUAGCGGUGAAAUGCGUAGAUAUCGGAAGGAACACCAGUGGCGAAGGCGGCUUCCUGGACCAACACUGACGCUGAGGUGCGAAAGCGUGGGGAGCAAACAGGAUUAGAUACCCUAGUAGUCC